RNAcentral lists this ribosomal RNA (253 nucleotides) under uncultured bacterium. RNAcentral describes it as "partial 16S ribosomal RNA". It matches the Rfam family "Bacterial small subunit ribosomal RNA", at positions 524 to 776 of the family's 1533-position model. The record is from RNAcentral.
UACGUAGGGUGCGAGCGUUGUCCGGAAUUAUUGGGCGUAAAGGGCUCGUAGGCGGUUUGUCGCGUCGGGAGUGAAAACUCAGGGCUUAACCCUGAGCCUGCUUCCGAUACGGGCAGACUAGAGGUAUGCAGGGGAGAACGGAAUUCCUGGUGUAGCGGUGAAAUGCGCAGAUAUCAGGAGGAACACCGAUGGCGAAGGCAGGUCUCUGGGCCGAUACUGACGCUGAGGAGCGAAAGCGUGGGGAGCGAACAGG